AGCGUAGACGGUGUUGCAAGUCUGAUGUGAAAGGCGGGGGCUCAACCCCUGGACUGCAUUGGAAACUGUGAUACUCGAGUGCCGGAGAGGUAAGCGGAAUUCCUAGUGUAGCGGUGAAAUGCGUAGAUAUUAGGAGGAACACCAGUGGCGAAGGCGGCUUACUGGACGGUAACUCACGUUGAGGCUCGAAAGCGUGGGGAGCAAACA
This 207-nucleotide ribosomal RNA is filed under the name uncultured bacterium. RNAcentral describes it as "partial 16S ribosomal RNA". It matches the Rfam family "Bacterial small subunit ribosomal RNA", at positions 568 to 774 of the family's 1533-position model. The record is from RNAcentral.